ACGAACGCUGGCGGCGCGCCUAACACAUGCAAGUCGAACGGAGUCAAGAGGAGCUUGCUUUUCUUGACUUAGUGGCGAACGGGUGAGUAACGCGUGAGUAACCUGCCCUGGAGUGGGGGACAACAGUUGGAAACGACUGCUAAUACCGCAUAAGCCCACGGAUCCGCAUGGAUCUGCGGGAAAAGGAUUUAUUCGCUUCAGGAUGGACUCGCGUCCAAUUAGCUAGUUGGUGAGGUAACGGCCCACCAAGGCGACGAUUGGUAGCCGGACUGAGAGGUUGAACGGCCACAUUGGGACUGAGACACGGCCCAGACUCCUACGGGAGGCAGCAGUGGGGGAUAUUGCACAAUGGGGGAAACCCUGAUGCAGCGACGCCGCGUGGAGGAAGAAGGUUUUCGGAUUGUAAACUCCUGUCGUGAGGGACGAUAAUGACGGUACCUAACAAGAAAGCACCGGCUAACUACGUG
This 467-nucleotide ribosomal RNA is filed under the name uncultured bacterium. Its description in RNAcentral is "partial 16S ribosomal RNA". It matches the Rfam family "Bacterial small subunit ribosomal RNA", at positions 29 to 507 of the family's 1533-position model. The record is from RNAcentral.